GAUGAACGCUGGCGGCGUGCCUAAUACAUGCAAGUCGAGCGAACAGAUGAGGCGCUUGCUCCUCUGACGUUAGCGGCGGACGGGUGAGUAACACGUGGAUAACCUACCUAUAAGACUGGGAUCACUUCGGGAAACCGGAGCUAAUACCAGAUAAUAUAUUGAACCGCAUGGUUCAAUAGUGAAAGACGGUUUUGCUGUCUCUUAUAGAUGGAUCCGCGCCGCAUUAGCUGGUUGGUAAGGUAACGGCUUACCAAGGCAACGAUGCGUGACCGACCUGCGAGGGUGAUCGGCCACACUGGAACUUAGACACGGUCCAGACGCCUACGGGAGGCAGCAGUAGGGAAUCUUCCGCAAUGGGCGAAAGCCUGACGGAGCAGCGCCGCGUGAGUGAUGAAGGUCUUCGGAUCGUAAAACUCUGUUAUUAGGGAAGAACAAAUGUGUAAGUAACUAUGCACGUCUUGACGGUACCUAAUCAGAAAGCCACGGCUAACUACGUG
This 497-nucleotide ribosomal RNA is filed under the name uncultured bacterium. Its description in RNAcentral is "partial 16S ribosomal RNA". It matches the Rfam family "Bacterial small subunit ribosomal RNA", at positions 28 to 507 of the family's 1533-position model. The record is from RNAcentral.